AUGAUGUGGAUUAAUUCGAUGCAACGCGAAAACCUUACCUACCCUUGACAUGUUCAGAAUCCUGAAGAGAUUUGGGAGUGCCCGAAAGGGAGCUGGAACACAGGUGCUGCAUGGCUGUCGUCAGCUCGUGUCGUGAGAUGUUGGGUUAAGUCCCGCAACGAGCGCAACCCUUGUCGUUAAUUGCCAUCAUUAAGUUGGGGCACUUUAACGAGACUGCCGGUGACAAACCGGAGGAAGGUGGGGAUGACGUCAAGUCCUCAUGGCCCUUAUGGGUAGGGCUUCACACGUCAUACAAUGGUCGGUACAGAGGGUUGCCAAGCCGCGAGGUGGAGCCAAUCCCAGAAAGCCGAUCGUAGUCCGGAUUGUAGGCUGCAACCCGCCUGCAUGAAGAUGGAGUUGCUAGUAACCGCAGGUCAGCUAUACUGCGGUGAAUACGUUCCCGGGGCUU
This 448-nucleotide ribosomal RNA is filed under the name uncultured Dechloromonas sp. Its description in RNAcentral is "bacterial SSU rRNA". It matches the Rfam family "Bacterial small subunit ribosomal RNA", at positions 936 to 1382 of the family's 1533-position model. The record is from RNAcentral. Lineage: Bacteria; Pseudomonadati; Pseudomonadota; Betaproteobacteria; Rhodocyclales; Azonexaceae.